RNAcentral lists this long non-coding RNA (3482 nucleotides) under Salmo salar (Atlantic salmon). Its description in RNAcentral is "lncRNA (ENSSSAG00000102814.1)". Lineage: Eukaryota; Metazoa; Chordata; Actinopteri; Salmoniformes; Salmonidae. The record is from RNAcentral.
CAACCGUCAGCUGUUACCGGGCAGAUCAUUUUGGCUCAGUCAAUCAUUGGCCAGUCUGAGGAGAGUUGUCUUAUGAUGUGUGUGCACGUGAAGUCAUCGUUUUUAUAUUUUUCUUCUGGGAUGAAUAGCUAUUGCCCGGUUGUAAAAUUAUCACAAUUUUACGUAAGAAAAUACCCUAAAGGAUUGAUUGUAAACAUCGUUUGACGUGUUUCUACAAACGGUAAUGGAACUUUGAACAUUUCGUAUAUGGAUUUGCGUCCACGCCACAUGGCAUUGUAAAGUGUUCUGGAUGGGUCAACAAAACGGACGUAUUUGGACAUAAAUGAUGGACUUUGCAGAACAAAUGAACAUUUCUUGUGGAAGUGGGUGCCCAUCCGAGUGCAUUCCACCGAAGAUCAGCAAAGGGCUGGGAUACUGUCCUGUAUCAGAGGUCUCUGAGGAAGAAGUGACUGAGUCGUUCCAUGAACAGAUUGUCUUUUCGGUAGUGCAAGGUUGUAAAAUAAUUCCGUCAUAAAGAACACAUAUUCAACUUAAAAAAAAGACAUGUUUUCCAAUCUUCAUAUGUUAAAUUAAUUAAGAAAAACCGGUGGACCAUUUCAUAUUAUAUCAGCCAUAACUCUGCUCGUGACAGGGGGAAAGGAAGCUGGUUGUGAGUAGCAAGGAGGGGCAAUUGAAUGCAAGCUUAUCAAAACAAAUGUAGCUUGUUAUUUGCCUAGAAUAUGACACCGCUCUUGUCUGUGCUCUGGCCAACGUUUAAAAUGCCACCCUAUACAGUAUAGUGCACUAACUUUUAUCAGGGAAUAGAGUGCCAUUUAGGAUGCAUUGUUGUUUGCAUUACUAGGUUGAAAUGACACGGCACUCAGGUGAGGCAGGGCAGAGUAGGGCAGAGAUUUGGAUAUAUAGUUGCAGGUUAUCAGGUCCAGCACCUGUGACAGACACAACACACCACACCUCAGAGGACAGAGUCACAGCAUCAAUUGGCUACAGGUGAGUUAAAUUGUUCCAUUUGUAUUUUUAAACGAUUUCCAUUUUGAAUUUAAAUCUCAUUUGAUAUAGAUGAAUGUAGUUGUGAACAAAAACAUAACAAUUUAUGAAAAUAUAUGGACACAUUUUGAUAUUUUGUCACGUUUAGAAAGUGAUCAUGUGCAGUGCAUAAGUUAACAAUAGAUUAUCUUUCUUAAUUUAUCUUCCUCAGGUUUUUUGUGUGCUUUAUUGUGAUUCUAACAAGGCUGCACACGUAGUUGACGGUUCUCAGAAUUUUUGUGUUUAUUUUUAAAACAGGUCAAAAAAACACUAACACCCUAUUGCAGUGGCAAUAGCACGAUUAUAUGUGCAUAUUUAAGCAAAGAAUGCAAAUAUUGUGAGAGAAAUACUUUGCAGUGUCUUUCUGCUUGUAUAACAAUCCUUCCAACCCUCCCUCAUUCUCUCUCUCUAUCUCUCUACCUCUCUCUCGCUACCUAUCUCUCUCUCUCUACCGCUCUCUCUCUCUACCUCUCUCUCUUUUUCUCCUUUCUUAUAGAUCGCAACAAUUUUUGGACAUUACAGUUACAUAAUUCGUUGAGAUGAACUCAUCUAAAUUCAAUGACACGUCCACAUCUCCUCCAAUCUCCCUGAUUGAUACGGGUGAAGAAAGUGUCCUUUCGGUACGUUUUAUCCCCAUGCUUACUGCCUCCUAUGCAAUCAACAUCAUCCUGGGUCUCCCAGCCAAUGUCUAUAUCCUGUGGCUGAUACUGACCGGAGCGGGAGGGACGAUGGCCUCAGAGUUCUUCGCUCUCAACCUGACUGUGUCAGAGAUCCUCUUCUGCCUCUUUAAUGCCGUCCGCAUAGCUGAACUCCAGUCAGACAAAUAUGUCCAUUCUAAUCUUGUCCACAAAGCUGCUUCUUUUUCUUUUGGGUUAAUUUUCUCUGGUCGUCCCCUGUUCCAGUGCUGUAUUUGUUUACAGCGAUACCUGGCAGUGGUUCACCCUGUGGUCUUCCUGAAGUACAAACCCCUGAGAUACAAGGUUGGGUGUUGUAGUGUUGUCUGGCUGAUGGUUCUUGGGUCCUGCUGUCUAUCUUUGUUAGAGACACUUUCACCAAUGUUCUUCUACUCUGUCCUUGGCCAGUCUCUGAUCUAUUUCCUUCUGAUGUCAUUCUGCUGCCUCUCAGUUCUCUGGGCUCUGAAACGUCCAGGGCCAGGGGAUGGGGACAGGGAGGGGACAAACAGCAUUAAGAUGAAGGCCUUUAAGCUUCCUUCACACAUCAGAACUACACGAAGUGAGGCGAUCAAUACCUCAACUCCAGCUACCAACUAUUCCAUUCCUGAAGACCCACUGGCUGGCUACUUUUACCAUAUCAAAUCAAUCAGCACUGCUUCCUUAGCAAUCAACAUCAUCCUGGGUCUCCCCAUGUAAAGGAAUUUAUAUGUUUGAAUGUAAUGAUUAAAUAAUUCUACCCUGAGACUUAACUAUUAGGGAUAUGGUCUAUAUAGCAUGUAGAGUGAGCCUAAGUCUAACGAGGUUGGACUAAGAUAAGAGAAGAAUGUGUGUCUCUCUGUUUAAGUAAACACCAAGAACUGUUAAACUGUGGUUGACCUGCCCUAGCUUGAACUCUGAGGGUUUAAGAUAUGAGAGGGAAUCCUCCUCAAGGUUUCCCUAAUCUCAGAGGAAUGAAACUGUCGGCUGGGUAAUGAUCUAUAGUGUUAAGAGAUCUGGGCCUUAAUGUUUGUGUGUAUGUGUGUGCGUAAAUACGGAACAUGGUAUAUAAUGAUGUCUCUGUACAAUGGACUUCAGAGCGCACUCGUGAAUAAACACUUCUGAAUCUUGUAAGCUGGGCCUCCGUCUGUGUUAUUCAACCAGAAUCUUACCCAUUCUGGGAGGCAGACUGAGUAUGUUAAUUGGAGUUAACAUUGAGAACAUAAUUCUCAUAACACCCCACUAAUGUCUACAUUCUAUGGCUGAUACUGACUGAAGAUGCAGGGACGAUGGCCUCAGAGUUCUUCUUUCUCAACUUGGCCAUGUCUGAGGUCCUCUUCUGCUUGUUUUCAAUCUUGUAUUUUAUCUGGUUACACAACCCCUCAAUCGUUGUCUCAUGCAUCAUGUUCUUUUCUUAUGAUUUUCUCUACACCGGCCGUCCUGUUUCAAAGCCGUAUCUGUAUGGAGCGCUACCUGGCAGUGGUCCACCCUGUGGUCUACCUGAAUUACAAACCCCUGAGAUACAGGGUUGGGUGUUGUAGUCUUGUCUGGCUGAUGGUGCAUUGGUCCUGUCUGUUCUUUAUGCUGGUAGAUGAAAGAUCUGUUGUAUUGUUUUUUGUGUUAAAUCUCUUCUGCUACCUCUCAGUUCUCAGGGCUCUGAAAUGUCCCAGGCCGGGGGGAGGGGAGUGCGAAGGCACAAAUAACAUGAAGAUCAGGACCUUCAUGAUCAUUUAGAUUAUCAUGGUGUCUAUUGUCAUGAAUUAUCUUCUAUAUUUUUUGGCCUUUAACAUAUGUUUCACCUUCAAUGUG